Molecule: transfer RNA, 59 nt
Filed under: Sphyranura euryceae
Lineage: Eukaryota; Metazoa; Platyhelminthes; Monogenea; Polystomatidea; Sphyranuridae
Description: tRNA-Ser
Source: RNAcentral
GAGGGUUUUUCUUAUUACUGCUAAUAAUAUUUUGGAUAGAUUAUACUAUCCAAUCCUCU